UACGAAGGGGGCUAGCGUUGCUCGGAAUCACUGGGCGUAAAGGGUGCGUAGGCAGGUCUUUAAGUCAGGGGUGAAAUCCCGGGGCUCAACCUCGGAACUGCCUUUGAUACUGCAAAUCUCGAGUCCGGAAGAGGUGAGUGGAAUUCCUAGUGUAGAGGUGAAAUUCGUAGAUAUUAGGAAGAACACCAGUGGCGAAGGCGGCUCACUGGUCCGGUACUGACGCUGAGGUGCGAAAGCGUGGGGAGCAAACAGG
RNAcentral lists this ribosomal RNA (253 nucleotides) under uncultured bacterium. RNAcentral describes it as "partial 16S ribosomal RNA". It matches the Rfam family "Bacterial small subunit ribosomal RNA", at positions 524 to 776 of the family's 1533-position model. The record is from RNAcentral.